GUGUGUGUGUGUGUGUGUGUGUGUGUGUGUGUAUGGACUCAGCAGUGUGAGUCCAUACACACACACACACACACACUGCCGA
This 82-nucleotide microRNA precursor is filed under the name Pelobates cultripes (western spadefoot toad). The record is from RNAcentral. Lineage: Eukaryota; Metazoa; Chordata; Amphibia; Anura; Pelobatidae.